GACGGAGGGCGCAAGCGUUGUUCGGAAUUACUGGGCGUAAAGGGCACGUAGGCGGACUGUUAAGUCGGAGGUGAAAUCCUGGGGCUCAACCUCAGAAUAGCCUUCGAUACUGGCGGUCUCGAGUGCGGGAGAGGUGAGUGGAAUUCCCAGUGUAGAGGUGAAAUUCGUAGAUAUUGGGAAGAACACCAGUGGCGAAGGCGGCUCACUGGCCCGCAACUGACGCUGAGGUGCGAAAGCGUGGGGAGCAAACAGG
RNAcentral lists this unclassified non-coding RNA (253 nucleotides) under uncultured Alphaproteobacteria bacterium. RNAcentral's name for it is "contains 16S-23S intergenic spacer region". It matches the Rfam family "Bacterial small subunit ribosomal RNA", at positions 524 to 776 of the family's 1533-position model. Lineage: Bacteria; Pseudomonadati; Pseudomonadota; Alphaproteobacteria. The record is from RNAcentral.